AAAAACAUGUCCUUUUGAUUUUUAUUUAAGGUCUAACCUGCUCAAUGAAUUUUAAAUAGCCGCAGUAUUCUGACUGUGCAAAGGUAGCAUAAUCAUUAGUUUUUUAAUUGAAAGCUGGAAUGAAGGGUUGAAUGAGAAAAUAGCUGUCUCUAUAAAAAUUUUAUAGAAUUUUAUUUUUAAGUUAAAAAGCUUAAAUUUUUGUAAAAGACGAGAAGACCCUAUAGAGUUUUAUAUUUAUAAAUAAUAUAUUUUUUUUAGUAUUUUAAAUUAUAUUAUAUAUAUAUUAUUUGGUUGGGGUGAUUAGAAAAUUAAUUAAACUUUUCUUUAAAUUUAAACAUUUAUUUAUGAUAUUAUGAUCCUUUUAUAAAGAUUAUAAGAUAAAAUUACCUUAGGGAUAACAGCGUAAUUUUUUUUGAGAGUUCUUAUCGAAAAAAAAGAUUGCGACCUCGAUGUUGGAUUAAAAUUAAUUUUUGGUGUAGAAGCUAAAUUGGAUUGGGUCUGUUCGACCUUUAAAAUUUUACUUGAUCUGAGUU
This 533-nucleotide ribosomal RNA is filed under the name Ceutorhynchus tangerianus. RNAcentral's name for it is "partial 16S ribosomal RNA". The stretch from base 394 to 533 matches the Rfam family "Bacterial large subunit ribosomal RNA", at positions 2473 to 2611 of the family's 2925-position model. Lineage: Eukaryota; Metazoa; Arthropoda; Insecta; Coleoptera; Curculionidae. The record is from RNAcentral.